UCUUUCUUUUGCUGGCGACCGGCGCACGGGUGAGUAACACGUAUCCAACCUGCCCUUUACUCGGGGAUAGCCUUUCGAAAGAAAGAUUAAUACCCGAUAGCAUAAUGAUUCCGCAUGGUUUCAUUAUUAAAGGAUUCCGGUAAAGAUGGGGAUGCGUUCCAUUAGGUUGUUGGUGAGGUAACGGCCCACCAAGCCUUCGAUGGAUAGGGGUUCUGAGAGGAAGGUCCCCCACAUUGGGACUGAGACACGGUCCAA
RNAcentral lists this ribosomal RNA (255 nucleotides) under uncultured bacterium. Its description in RNAcentral is "partial 16S ribosomal RNA". It matches the Rfam family "Bacterial small subunit ribosomal RNA", at positions 79 to 334 of the family's 1533-position model. The record is from RNAcentral.